RNAcentral lists this ribosomal RNA (303 nucleotides) under uncultured bacterium. RNAcentral describes it as "partial 16S ribosomal RNA". It matches the Rfam family "Bacterial small subunit ribosomal RNA", at positions 507 to 807 of the family's 1533-position model. The record is from RNAcentral.
AGCAGUAGCCGCGGGAAUACGGAGGAUCCAAGCGUUAUCCGGAAUCAUUGGGUUUAAAGGGUCCGUAGGCGGUUUUAUAAGUCAGUGGUGAAAUCCGGCAGCUCAACUGUCGAACUGCCAUUGAUACUGUAGAACUUGAAUUAUUGUGAAGUAACUAGAAUAUGUAGUGUAGCGGUGAAAUGCUUAGAUAUUACAUGGAAUACCCAUUGCGAAGGCAGGUUACUAACAAUAUAUUGACGCUGAUGGACGAAAGCGUGGGGAGCGAACAGGAUUAGAGACCCCUGUAGUCCCUGUCUCUUAUAC